This 513-nucleotide ribosomal RNA is filed under the name uncultured bacterium. Its description in RNAcentral is "bacterial SSU rRNA". It matches the Rfam family "Bacterial small subunit ribosomal RNA", at positions 15 to 518 of the family's 1533-position model. The record is from RNAcentral.
GAUUAUGGCUCAGGAUGAACGCUAGCUACAGGCUUAACACAUGCAAGUCGAGGGGCAGCAUGUGGUUGCUUGCAACCAAUGAUGGCGACCGGCGCACGGGUGAGUAACGCGUAUCCAACCUUCCCCUUAGUAGAGGAUAGCCCGGCGAAAGUCGGAUUAAUACUCUAUGUUCUUCAAUGCGGGCAUCUAAGUUGGAGCAAAGAUUUAUCGCUAAGGGAUGGGGAUGCGUCUGAUUAGGUUGCAGGCGGGGUAACGGCCCACCUGGCCUACGAUCAGUAGGGGUUCUGAGAGGAAGGUCCCCCACACUGGUACUGAGACACGGACCAGACUCCUACGGGAGGCAGCAGUGAGGAAUAUUGGUCAAUGGGCGCGAGCCUGAACCAGCCAAGUAGCGUGCAGGACGACUGCCCUAUGGGUUGUAAACUGCUUUUAUCAGGGAAUAAAGUGAGGCACGCGUGCCUUUUUGUAUGUACCUGAUGAAUAAGGACCGGCUAAUUCCGUGCCAGCCGCCGC